Molecule: ribosomal RNA, 303 nt
Filed under: Triticum aestivum (bread wheat)
Lineage: Eukaryota; Viridiplantae; Streptophyta; Magnoliopsida; Poales; Poaceae
Description: partial small subunit ribosomal RNA
Source: RNAcentral
AUGGAGAGGCGGGGGGCAGAGGAUGGCGGCGCCGUAGGGGCGGAGGAGAAGAGGGGUGCAAAGUGGGAUCCAGCAGGGGCGGAGGUGCUGCUGAAGAGAGAAAGUGUUGUGCCGAAGACGGACGACGGGGAAGUAGUGGAGGAGGAGGUCGAGGCAGUGGUGGCGGCGGGGGCCGUGGAGGAGAGGGAGCCCGACGAGGUGACAGAGUCCAUGGCGGCGGCGGACGGGGAGGAGUCGGUGCCGGCCACGAAGGAGACCUCGAAGCAGCUGAUAUUAAAUUGGAAACUAUAUUUCCUUGAUUGA